CCUACGGGAGGCAGCAGUGGGGAAUCUUGGUCAAUGGGCGAAAGCCUGAACCAGCGAUGCCGCGUGAGUGAUGAAGGCCUUCGGGUUGUAAAGCUCUGUGGGGAGGGACGAAAGAGUCGGUUCUAACAGGACCGACGUUGACGGUACCUCCUUAGCAAGCACCGGCUAACUCUGUGCCAGCAGCCGCGGUAAGACAGAGGGUGCAAACGUUGCUCGGAAUCACUGGGCGUAAAGGGCGUGUAGGCGGGAAGGUAAGUCGGGCGUGAAAUCCCUGAGCUCAACUCAGGAACUGCACUCGAAACUACUUUUCUUGAGUGCCGGAGAGGAAAGCGGAAUUCCUGGUGUAGAGGUGAAAUUCGUAGAUAUCAGGAGGAACACCAGUGGCGAAGGCGGCUUUCUGGACGGUAACUGACGCUGAGACGCGAAAGCGUGGGGAGCAA
This 440-nucleotide ribosomal RNA is filed under the name uncultured bacterium. RNAcentral's name for it is "bacterial SSU rRNA". It matches the Rfam family "Bacterial small subunit ribosomal RNA", at positions 338 to 771 of the family's 1533-position model. The record is from RNAcentral.